Molecule: ribosomal RNA, 839 nt
Filed under: uncultured bacterium
Lineage: Bacteria
Description: bacterial SSU rRNA
Rfam family: Bacterial small subunit ribosomal RNA
Source: RNAcentral
GAGUUUGAUCCUGGCUCAGAUUGAACGCUGGCGGCAUGCUUUACACAUGCAAGUCGGACGGCAGCGGGCCCUUCGGGGUGCCGGCGAGUGGCGAACGGGUGAGUAAUGCAUCGGAACGUGCCUGGGAGUGGGGGAUAACGUAGCGAAAGUUACGCUAAUACCGCAUACGACCUGAGGGUGAAAGCGGGGGACCGUUUUAGGCCUCGUGCUCUUAGAGCGGCCGAUGUCCGAUUAGCUAGUUGGUGGGGUAAAGGCCUACCAAGGCGACGAUCGGUAGCGGGUCUGAGAGGAUGAUCCGCCACACUGGGACUGAGACACGGCCCAGACUCCUACGGGAGGCAGCAGUGGGGAAUUUUGGACAAUGGGCGCAAGCCUGAUCCAGCCAUGCCGCGUGCAGGAAGAAGGCCUUCGGGUUGUAAACUGCUUUCGGCCGGGAAGAAAUCGUCCGACCUAACACGUCGGGUGGAUGACGGUACCGGAAGAAGAAGCACCGGCUAACUACGUGCCAGCAGCCGCGGUAAUACGUAGGGUGCGAGCGUUAAUCGGAAUUACUGGGCGUAAAGGGUGCGCAGGCGGAUGUUUAAGCCAGACGUGAAAGCCCCGGGCUUAACCUGGGAGGUGCGUUUGGAACUGGACGUCUAGAGUGCGGCAGAGGGAGGUGGAAUUCCACGUGUAGCAGUGAAAUGCGUAGAGAUGUGGAGGAACACCGAUGGCGAANGCAGCCUCCUGGGCUGACACUGACGCUCAUGCACGAAAGUGUGGGGAGCAAACAGGAUUAGAUACCCUGGUAGUCCACGCCCUAAACGAUGUCGACUGGNUGUUGGGCGGGCAACCGCUUG